Molecule: ribosomal RNA, 810 nt
Filed under: marine metagenome
Description: bacterial SSU rRNA
Rfam family: Bacterial small subunit ribosomal RNA
Source: RNAcentral
GAGUUCGUAGGUGGUUAAAUAGUUGGGUGGUGAAAUCCCAGAGCUUAACUCUGGAACUGCCAUCAAAACUUUUUAGCUAGAGUAUGAUAGAGGAAAGCAGAAUUUCUAGUGUAGAGGUGAAAUUCGUAGAUAUUAGAAAGAAUACCAAUUGCGAAGGCAGCUUUCUGGAUCAUUACUGACACUGAGGAACGAAAGCAUGGGUAGCGAAGAGGAUUAGAUACCCUCGUAGUCCAUGCCGUAAACGAUGUGUGUUAGACGUUGGAAAUUUAUUUUUCAGUGUCGCAGCAAAAGCGAUAAACACACCGCCUGGGGAGUACGACCGCAAGGUUAAAACUCAAAUGAAUUGACGGGGACCCGCACAAGUAGUGGAGCAUGUGGUUUAAUUCGAAGAUACGCGCAGAACCUUACCAACACUUGACAUGUUCGUCGCGACUCUAAGAGAUUAGAGUUUUCGGUUCGGCCGGACGAAACACAGGUGCUGCAUGGCUGUCGUCAGCUCGUGUCGUGAGAUGUUGGGUUAAGUCCCGCAACGAGCGCAACCCUCACUUUUAGUUGCCAUCAUUAAGUUGGGCACUCUGAAAGAACUGCCAGUGAUAAGCUGGAGGAAGGUGGGGAUGACGUCAAGUCCUCAUGGCCCUUACGUGUUGGGCUACACACGUGCUACAAUGGCAUUUACAAUAGGAAGCAAAAUGGCGACAUUAAGCAAAUCCUAAAAAAAUGCCUCAGUUCGGAUUGUACUCUGCAACUCGAGUACAUGAAGCUGGAAUUACUAGUAAUCGCGGAUCAGCGCGCCGCGGUGAAUACGUUCCC